Molecule: ribosomal RNA, 99 nt
Filed under: uncultured bacterium
Lineage: Bacteria
Description: partial 16S ribosomal RNA
Rfam family: Bacterial small subunit ribosomal RNA
Source: RNAcentral
CACACCGCCCGUCACACCAUGGGAAUUGGAUCUACCCGAAGGUGGCGCGCCAACCUGCAAAGGAGGCAGCCAACCACGGUAGGUUCAGUGACUGGGGUG